Molecule: long non-coding RNA, 536 nt
Filed under: Bos taurus (domestic cattle)
Lineage: Eukaryota; Metazoa; Chordata; Mammalia; Artiodactyla; Bovidae
Description: long non-coding RNA NONBTAT022701
Source: RNAcentral
UUGAGGGAUAACAAUUAAAUUUAAAUCAAUGCUCUUUUGAGACUCUUUUAGAACUAAAGUUUAAGUAGUCUUAAACUUUAAUAACUUCAACCGAGGGUACCUGUUUAAAAUAAAGCAUGUCAAAUUAGAUCAAAUUCCAUAUUACAAGGGGUGAAAUGUUAAGACUACUACUGAGUUUAUUCAGAUGAUCAAUUAGAAUAGAAACUUUAAGAAAUAAAUGUAAGAAGAGAGAAUGGUAAAGAAAAAUUACUUAACUCUGGCACCAUGAGCAUGCAGACUUAUCUGUUUAUACACAUUUAAUACAUUUUAUUAUUUCUCCAUGAGUGGAACUUGUUUAAAUAUGAAUUAAAAAUCCAUUUAAGGUAGUAUAUUGAAGGCAUUAUGCUUCCUACCUAUAAGAAGACUUAAGUGGAAAUACUUCUGAAACGAUGGUAUUGUUUCAAUUAUAUAUUAGUUCACAUUGUACUAUAUUAUCAGUAACAGAAGAGAAAAUAUCCUGUAUCAUCUUUGGGUAUUCCUGCAUGAACACUACUAUU